Molecule: long non-coding RNA, 908 nt
Organism: Monodelphis domestica (gray short-tailed opossum)
Lineage: Eukaryota; Metazoa; Chordata; Mammalia; Didelphimorphia; Didelphidae
Source: RefSeq, a predicted model, not a curated record
UGUGUCAGGGGCAGCUGGCAGAAAUGUAAUCUGAGUAAACAACAGGCUUGCCCUCCCAACUGGCCAGGAGGGGCAAGGGUCAGCGACUGGAGGAUGAGGGUGUGAGCCUCCCUCCCCAUAACAGCCCCCCUCUGUCCCUCCCCCCUCCUGUCGUCCCUCCGAGACUCCUGACUAGUGAACAAAUGGAGGGGCUAGGAGAGGGAAUAUGAAAAGGACGGGUUUGGUAUUAUUUUUGUUUUGUUUUGUUUUGAAAUUAUACUGGUGUUCCAGAGGGGCUGGGGCUUGGGGACACUGAGCCUGCCCACAGAGAUGCCAGCUCUUUGUUGAACAGCAUGAGCCCAGAGUGAUGCUUCAGUGCCAAAUGGGCCAAUGCUCUUCAAAGCUCUCCCUAUUCUGAGGAAACAACUGCCUCCUGGUCCAGGAGGGCAGCAUCCCAGCUCCACUGGGGACGAAACAUUCAAUCCAUAACCCUACUUGCUGGAUUCGUGAACCUGGGGGCAAAAGGCUCCCUAUCCCCACUUUUCUCUUGAUUUUUGAUUAGAGAGCACAUUCGAGAAUUGUUCAAAGUCACCAGAUGGAGAAAAAUAAAUGGCCCCCCUCAAAAAAAAAAAGACUGCACCGCUGACAAAGCUGGAAGCUGGGCUAGAACUACUGAAGCUGUUUGCCACUGAGUAAUCCAGUGCCUACAUUGUGCCAGUCUUUCCAGGAACACCUAAGGCAUAGAGGCAGACCUCAAGGAGACUGGUCCAGCUUGAGUCAACUGUCUAUAUAGGAGAAGAGUGAGAGAUCAAACUAAAGAGGAAAGAUGGAGUGAGCCCGGGAGGGCCUUGGAUCCAAUCUCAUACCCCAAACAAGUGAUGCUUGUGGUUUCUCAGAAUUGAAAUAAAGUAGGUAGACUGAGAAGGGAA